Long non-coding RNA from Maniola jurtina (meadow brown), 203 nucleotides. RefSeq lists it as uncharacterized. NCBI's taxonomy places the organism in Eukaryota, Metazoa, Arthropoda, Insecta, Lepidoptera, Nymphalidae. The transcript is spliced from 3 exons. The record is from RefSeq and is a predicted model, not a curated record.
GCGGCGUAGGCCGGGCAUUGAUCCCGAGUUUUGCACGCUAUACAUUGCGGGUUUGAUACUAAACUAAAAAUUCUAAAUCACAAUAACUACAAAUAUAAGGCAAAUGGUUAUUGGUAUCGGAUUGUGAUUAGGUAGUAUAAUAAAAGCGCUAAGUUUUUGCUAGCGUUCUAAUUACACUCAGUAUAAUAAUGGUAUGUAUGUAU